UUAUUUUUUCAUAAUCGGUAUUUAUAAUCGAAUCAUUAGUAAUUGGUAUUAUAUUAGCGGUCUAUUACUCCAAUACUCCACUACUCCAGUGUCCAGUAUUUGCUAUUUAGACUCCCACUACGACUACUCCCAUGGUCCAGGCGUCGGAACUAGCAGCUGCAGAAAUCAGAAUAUCACUGACAGGGUAGAAUAUAGAUUACCUACAGAACAUUAAGUAUUAAAUUCAGUUACAUUAGCCUAUUAGAUAUAUAUCAAAUGAACGGCUUUCAAUAAACCCACUGAAGAAUACAUUAAUUGAAUAUUUUAAAAGUUACAUUCACAACCAUAAGCAAACCAUUUAUCAUUAGCCACCUCAAACGCUGUUUUUUGAUUUUUAAUGGAGCAAAAGUAUCGUUUUUCCCCCCUGAAUAAUACCAGGAAGGCUGCAAUAUGCAAUACCUAUGGUUGACAGAUAUAAUCUUAAUAUGUUAUCUAUAUUAUGAAUGAUGAACCUAUUCCACUGCUGUUUUAUGGUAAAGUACUAAAGUAGUAU
Long non-coding RNA from Melanaphis sacchari, 532 nucleotides. RefSeq lists it as uncharacterized. The transcript has 3 exons. The record is from RefSeq and is a predicted model, not a curated record. Lineage: Eukaryota; Metazoa; Arthropoda; Insecta; Hemiptera; Aphididae.